Acanthosepion pharaonis is the source of this 104-nucleotide non-coding RNA. The record is from the annotation of a GenBank genome assembly. NCBI's taxonomy places the organism in Eukaryota, Metazoa, Mollusca, Cephalopoda, Sepiida, Sepiidae.
UUACGGCUAUACCACGUUGAAACAUCGGUUCCUCUGCGAUCACCGAAGUUAAGCAACGCCGAGCCUGGUCAGUAUCUAGAUAGGUGAUCGCUUCGGAAUACCAG